AAUAGCUACUGUAUAGUCUGUGUCGGCAGUGCGCAUAUUUCGUAAUAAAUCUCUGCGCGGUUAAAAUCUGGAGUUCAUUUCCAUCAACCCCGAGGCUGCGCUAUAUACCUAUAGAGAGAGAACUAUUUUAAUUCAGUUUGUACGUCUGGAUGUAUUAAAACAAUUUAUUAUUUCGCUCACUGCGGGUACAGUUCAUAUCAAAUGCACUACAACAGACGCUUAAAAUUCUAACCUAUGAACCUAUAUUUAUUUCGCCUGUAAUUUUUGCAUCAACGUUUAUUGGCCUUCUACGCGUAUUUACAUUCGGUCGUGAUAGAAUCAUUAAUAUAUUGGUAUAGCUGACAUAAUAAAAUAUGCAUAGAUAUUAUACUAGAUUUCCGAUGGAUUUCACCGGUUACGUAUAGAAUGUUGUCACAGACCGUUUUGUACGGUAGUAUUUUUGCCGUAAAGUCAAUAGUUCUAUUAAUAAUAAUUUGGGGGAAAAAACCUAACAUAACCUCACAUA
Non-coding RNA from Cinara cedri, 505 nucleotides. The record is from the annotation of a GenBank genome assembly. Lineage: Eukaryota; Metazoa; Arthropoda; Insecta; Hemiptera; Aphididae.